UACGGGGGGUGCGAGCGUUGUCCGGAAUCACUGGGCGUAAAGGGCUCGUAGGCGGCCAACUAAGUCAUACGUGAAAUCCCUCAGCUUAACUGGGGAACUGCGUGUGAUACUGGAUGGCUUGGAUUUGGGAGAGGGAUGCGGAAUUCCAGGUGUAGCGGUGAAAUGCGUAGAUAUCUGGAGGAACACCGGUGGCGAAGGCGGCAUCCUGGACCAAUAUUGACGCUGAGGAGCGAAAGCCAGGGGAGCAAACGGG
Molecule: ribosomal RNA, 253 nt
Filed under: uncultured bacterium
Lineage: Bacteria
Description: partial 16S ribosomal RNA
Rfam family: Bacterial small subunit ribosomal RNA
Source: RNAcentral